GACGAACGCUGGCGGCGUGCCUAAUACAUGCAAGUAGAACGCACAGUUUAUACCGUAGCUUGCUACACCAUAGACUGUGAGUUGCGAACGGGUGAGUAACGCGUAGGUAGCCUGCCUGGUAGCGGGGGAUAACUAUUGGAAACGAUAGCUAAUACCGCAUAAUAUUAAUUAUUGCAUGAUAAUUAAUUGAAAGGUGCAAUUGCACCACUACCAGAUGGACCUGCGUUGUAUUAGCUAGUAGGUGAGGUAACGGCUCACCUAGGCGACGAUACAUAGCCGACCUGAGAGGGUGAUCGGCCACACUGGGACUGAGACACGGCCCAGACUCCUACGGGAGGCAGCAGUAGGGAAUCUUCGGCAAUGGACGAAAGUCUGACCGAGCAACGCCGCGUGAGUGAAGAAGGUUUUCGGAUCGUAAAGAUCUGUUGUAAGAGAAGAACGGGUGUGAGAGUGGAAAGUUCACACUGUGACGGUAUCUUACCAGAAAGGGACGGCUAACUACGUG
Molecule: ribosomal RNA, 505 nt
Filed under: uncultured bacterium
Lineage: Bacteria
Description: partial 16S ribosomal RNA
Rfam family: Bacterial small subunit ribosomal RNA
Source: RNAcentral